UACGAAGGGUGCAAGCGUUAAUCGGAAUUACUGGGCGUAAAGCGCGCGUAGGUGGUUCAGUAAGUUGGAAGUGAAAUCCCCGGGCUCAACCUGGGAACUGCUUUCAAAACUGCUGAGCUAGAGUACGGUAGAGGGUGGUGGAAUUUCCUGUGUAGCGGUGAAAUGCGUAGAGAUAGGAAGGAACACCAGUGGCGAAGGCGACCACCUGGACUGAUACUGACACUGAGGUGCGAAAGCGUGGGGAGCAAACAGG
This 253-nucleotide ribosomal RNA is filed under the name uncultured bacterium. Its description in RNAcentral is "partial 16S ribosomal RNA". It matches the Rfam family "Bacterial small subunit ribosomal RNA", at positions 524 to 776 of the family's 1533-position model. The record is from RNAcentral.